UGGGGAAUUUUGGACAAUGGGCGAAAGCCUGAUCCAGCAAUGCCGCGUGUGUGAAGAAGGCCUUCGGGUUGUAAAGCACUUUUGUCCGGAAAGAAAUCCUUGGCUCUAAUACAGUCGGGGGAUGACGGUACCGGAAGAAUAAGCACCGGCUAACUACGUGCCAGCAGCCGCGGUAAUACGUAGGGUGCAAGCGUUAAUCGGAAUUACUGGGCGUAAAGCGUGCGCAGGCGGUUUGCUAAGACCGAUGUGAAAUCCCCGGGCUCAACCUGGGAACUGCAUUGGUGACUGGCAGGCUAGAGUAUGGCAGAGGGGGGUAGAAUUCCACGUGUAGCAGUGAAAUGCGUAGAGAUGUGGAGGAUACCGAUGGCGAAGGCAGCCCCUGGGCAAUACUGACGCUCAUGCACGAAAGCGUGGGGAGCAAACAGGAUUAGAUACCCUGGUAGUCCACGCCCUAAACGAUGUCAACUAGUUGUUGGGGAUUCAUUUCCUUAGUAACGUAGCUAACGCGUGAAGUUGACCGCCUGGGGAGUACGGUCGCAAGAUUAAAACUUAAGGAA
This 557-nucleotide ribosomal RNA is filed under the name uncultured bacterium. RNAcentral describes it as "partial 16S ribosomal RNA". It matches the Rfam family "Bacterial small subunit ribosomal RNA", at positions 355 to 908 of the family's 1533-position model. The record is from RNAcentral.